AACGCUGGCGGCGUGCCUAAUACAUGCAAGUCGAACGCACUUUCGUUAGAUUGAAGAAGCUUGCUUCUGAUUGAUAACAUUUGAGUGAGUGGCGGACGGGUGAGUAACACGUGGGUAACCUGCCCUAAAGUGGGGGAUAACAUUUGGAAACAGAUGCUAAUACCGCAUAAAACCUAGCACCGCAUGGUGCAAGGUUGAAAGAUGGUUUCGGCUAUCACUUUAGGAUGGACCCGCGGUGCAUUAGUUAGUUGGUGAGGUAAAGGCUCACCAAGACCGUGAUGCAUAGCCGACCUGAGAGGGUAAUCGGCCACACUGGGACUGAGACACGGCCCAGACUCCUACGGGAGGCAGCAGUAGGGAAUCUUCCACAAUGGACGAAAGUCUGAUGGAGCAACGCCGCGUGAGUGAAGAAGGUUUUCGGAUCGUAAAACUCUGUUGUUGGAGAAGAACGUAUUUGAUAGUAACUGAUCAGGUAGUGACGGUAUCCAACCAGAAAGCCACGGCUAACUACGUG
Molecule: ribosomal RNA, 514 nt
Filed under: uncultured bacterium
Lineage: Bacteria
Description: bacterial SSU rRNA
Rfam family: Bacterial small subunit ribosomal RNA
Source: RNAcentral